CUGAAUCAUCAAAUUUUUGAACGCAAAUUGCACUCUCCUCUGAGAGUAUGCCUGUUUGAGGGUCAGCCUAUAAAAAAUCGACAUCGUUGCCGUUUCGCGGUUACAUUCGUCAGAAAGUGGGUCAUCUUCAACCUUUUGUUUUUAAGCGGCUUAAAAUUUUCUUUACGAUUCUACUAACGUUUCUAAGAUUGACUUACACGUUUAAGGUAUCGGUC
Molecule: unclassified non-coding RNA, 215 nt
Filed under: Glomus sp.
Lineage: Eukaryota; Fungi; Glomeromycota; Glomeromycetes; Glomerales; Glomeraceae
Description: partial contains 5.8S ribosomal RNA and internal transcribed spacer 2
Rfam family: 5.8S ribosomal RNA (bases 1-65)
Source: RNAcentral